Molecule: long non-coding RNA, 223 nt
Filed under: Bos taurus (domestic cattle)
Lineage: Eukaryota; Metazoa; Chordata; Mammalia; Artiodactyla; Bovidae
Description: long non-coding RNA NONBTAT021551
Source: RNAcentral
UAUCUGGACCUUUCUUCCUGGUUUCCCCAGCCCAUCACUGGAGCUAUCUCAUCUCACUCGAGUCUUCAGAAACUUGAAUGCUAGGCAACUGCCAGUUAGACCAUAUUCUCUCUUUCGAAAUGGCCUUGGAGGGGACUAGCUUCUCAAGAGGCAGCUGCUACUAGUUUUAGUCCAUAAUAGCACCAUGGAGCACUCACGUCGGCCCCUCCCAGCUCUAAGACAG